RNAcentral lists this ribosomal RNA (402 nucleotides) under uncultured bacterium. RNAcentral's name for it is "bacterial SSU rRNA". It matches the Rfam family "Bacterial small subunit ribosomal RNA", at positions 356 to 773 of the family's 1533-position model. The record is from RNAcentral.
GGGGAAUAUUGCACAAUGGGGGAAACCCUGAUGCAGCGACGCCGCGUGAGUGAAGAAGGUCUUCGGAUCGUAAAACUCUGUCCUUGGUGACGAAGAAAAUGACGGUAACCAAGGAGGAAGCCCCGGCUAACUACGUGCCAGCAGCCGCGGUAAUACGUAGGGGGCGAGCGUUGUCCGGAUUUACUGGGCGUAAAGGGUGAGUAGGCGGUAAUAUGUGUCAGAUGUAAAAGGCUAAGGCUUAACCAUAGUAUGCAUUUGAAACUGUAUUACUUGAGUGCAGGAGAGGUAAGCGGAAUUCCUAGUGUAGCGGUGAAAUGCGUAGAUAUUAGGAGGAACACCAGUGGCGAAGGCGGCUUACUGGACUGUAACUGACGCCGAGUCACGAAAGCGUGGGUAGCAAAC